GGACUACUAGGGUUUCUAAUCCUGUUUGCUCCCCACGCUCUCGCGCCUCAGCGUCAGUAUUUGUCCAGGUAGCCGCCUUCGCCACUGGUGUUCCUUCCGAUCUCUACGCAUUUCACCGCUACACCGGAAAUUCCACUACCCUCUACAAUACUCCAGCUAGCCAGUUACAGAUGCAGUUCCUAGGUUAAGCCCAGGGAUUUCACAUCUAUCUUAACUAACCGCCUACGCGCCCUUUACGCCCAGUAACUCCGAUUAACGCUUGCACCCUCUGUAUUACCGCGGCUGCUGGCAC
Molecule: ribosomal RNA, 292 nt
Filed under: uncultured bacterium
Lineage: Bacteria
Description: partial 16S ribosomal RNA
Source: RNAcentral